This 321-nucleotide unclassified non-coding RNA is filed under the name uncultured fungus. Its description in RNAcentral is "partial contains small subunit ribosomal RNA, internal transcribed spacer 1, and 5.8S ribosomal RNA". The stretch from base 1 to 73 matches the Rfam family "Eukaryotic small subunit ribosomal RNA", at positions 1759 to 1831 of the family's 1831-position model. The record is from RNAcentral. Lineage: Eukaryota; Fungi.
UCAAACUUGGUCAUUUAGAGGAAGUAAAAGUCGUAACAAGGUUUCCGUAGGUGAACCUGCGGAAGGAUCAUUAUCGAGUUUUGAAAUAUGGGGUUGAAGCUGGCCUUACGAGGCAUGUGCUCGCCCCUGCUCAUCCACUCUACACCUGUGCACUUACUGUAGGCUUCAGGAGCUUCUCGGGCUUUCAUUAGCUCGGGUUGUAACUGAGCUUACGUUUACUACAAACAUCAUAAAGUAUCAGAAUGUGUAUUGCGAUAAACGCAUCUAUAUACAACUUUCAGCAACGGAUCUCUUGGCUCUCGCAUCGAUGAAGAACGCAGC